This 403-nucleotide unclassified non-coding RNA is filed under the name soil metagenome. Its description in RNAcentral is "partial contains 5.8S ribosomal RNA, internal transcribed spacer 2, and large subunit ribosomal RNA". The stretch from base 1 to 121 matches the Rfam family "5.8S ribosomal RNA", at positions 35 to 154 of the family's 154-position model. The record is from RNAcentral.
GAUGAAGAACGUAGCGAAAUGCGAUAAGUAAUGUGAAUUGCAGAAUUCAGUGAAUCAUCGAAUCUUUGAACGCACCUUGCGCCCUUUGGCUAUUCCGAAGGGCAUGCCUGUUUGAGCAUCAUGAACACCUCAACUCUUUAUGGUUUUCCAUGAAGGGCUUGGACUUUGGGGGUCUUGCUGGCCUUUAGUCAGCUCCUCUCAAACGAAUCAGCUUUCCAGUGUUUGGCAGCGUCACAGGUGUGAUAACUAUCUACGCUUGUGGUUUUCUGCCAGGUAAUCCUCAGUGAUGGGGAUUCGCUGGGGCUUAUAAAUGUCUCUCCUCAGCGAAGACAGCUUUGUGAACGUUUGAUCUCAAAUCAGGUAGGACUACCCGCUGAACUUAAGCAUAUCAAUAAGCGGAGGA